Molecule: ribosomal RNA, 423 nt
Filed under: uncultured archaeon
Lineage: Archaea
Description: partial 16S ribosomal RNA
Rfam family: Archaeal small subunit ribosomal RNA
Source: RNAcentral
CUACGGGGGGCAGCAGUCGCGAAUCUUUUACAAUGCACGAAAGUGUGAUAAAGCGAACCAAAGUGUUUUUCUUUUUGAAAAACUUUUCCUUGCUGUAAAAAGGCAGGGGAAUAAGGACUGGGAAAGACAGGUGCCAGCCGCCGCGGUAAUACCUGCGGUCCAAGUUGCAGCCAUUUUUAUUGGGUCUAAAACAUCCGUAGCUUGUUGAUUAAGUUUCUUGUGAAAUUUUAUAUCUCAAAUAUAAAGCGUGCAAGAAAUACUGAUCAGCUAGAGACCGGUAGAUGUAAGGAGUACGGCCGAGGUAACGGUUAAAUGUGUUAAUCUUGGUUGGACUAACAAUGAGCGAAGGCACCUUACAAGGACGGAUCUGACAGUGAGGGAUGAAGGCCAGGGGCGCAAAACGGAUUAGAUACCCGCGUAGUC